Vicia faba (fava bean) is the source of this 222-nucleotide non-coding RNA. Lineage: Eukaryota; Viridiplantae; Streptophyta; Magnoliopsida; Fabales; Fabaceae. The record is from the annotation of a GenBank genome assembly.
AUGCCUUCUUGCAUUGCAGUGGAAGAUCUUGCCCUAAUGCCCAUAGGAGCUGUGAUAUUAAUGCAACUGAAUAAUCUCAAAAUGUGCUUGCGCAACUCUGAUAGUGCUACUGAUACUUCGGAAGUUGCUAAGGCAUAUGGUGGAGGAGGUUCUGCAAGUUCAAGCUCCUUCAUUAUAAGGAUGGAUGAGUAUAACCAAUGGAUUUCAGCAAAUCUGUUAUGA